UUUAUCAAAAACAUGGCUAUCAGAAGAUGUUUAUAGUCUGGCCUGCUCACUGACAUGGAGAUGUUUAAGAGCCGCGGUAUUCUGACCGUGCAAAGGUAGCAUAAUCAUUAGUUUUUUAAUUGGAAACUUGUAUGAAUGGUCGGACAAAAGAAAAACUGUCUCUAUUUUAAUAAUUGAAAUUAACUUUUAAGUGAAAAGGCUUAAAUUUUUCAGUGGGACGAUAAGACCCUAUAAAGCUUUAUAUUUUAUUUAAAUUUAAUUGAAUUAUUAGUAAAUUAUAAAAAUUUAGUUUGGAUUAUAGUAUUUUGUUGGGGCGACAUGUAUAUAAAUAUUAUAACUGUAUAAAGGAAAAGUCAUUAAUGGGUGAAUUAAUAAAUUUAAAUGAUCCCUUAUAAGGAUUAUAAGAUUAAGUUACUUUAGGGAUAACAGCGUAAUUUUUUUUGAGAGUUCUUAUCGAAAGAAAAGUUUGCGACCUCGAUGUUGAAUUAAAAUGUCUUUAUAGUGUAGCCGCUAUAUAUAGAAGGUCUGUUCGACCUUUAAAAU
RNAcentral lists this ribosomal RNA (543 nucleotides) under Carpilius corallinus. RNAcentral describes it as "partial 16S ribosomal RNA". It matches the Rfam family "Bacterial large subunit ribosomal RNA", at positions 1803 to 2594 of the family's 2925-position model. The record is from RNAcentral. Lineage: Eukaryota; Metazoa; Arthropoda; Malacostraca; Decapoda; Carpiliidae.